GGCUGGUAUCAGAACUUAUUAACAUUAGUGUCACUAAAGUUGGUAUACCCCCCCCCCGUUGCUAAAUUUGACUGGCUUUAA
RNAcentral lists this small RNA (81 nucleotides) under Cavia aperea (Brazilian guinea pig). Its description in RNAcentral is "Y RNA (ENSCAPG00000004562.1)". The record is from RNAcentral. Lineage: Eukaryota; Metazoa; Chordata; Mammalia; Rodentia; Caviidae.